AAAUCUCUGCAGGCAAAUGUGG
This 22-nucleotide microRNA is filed under the name Sarcophilus harrisii (Tasmanian devil). RNAcentral's name for it is "Sha-Mir-216-P2a_5p (mature (guide))". RNAcentral also lists the same sequence under 1 other name. The record is from RNAcentral. Lineage: Eukaryota; Metazoa; Chordata; Mammalia; Dasyuromorphia; Dasyuridae.